This 253-nucleotide ribosomal RNA is filed under the name uncultured bacterium. RNAcentral's name for it is "partial 16S ribosomal RNA". It matches the Rfam family "Bacterial small subunit ribosomal RNA", at positions 524 to 776 of the family's 1533-position model. The record is from RNAcentral.
UACAGAGGGUGCGAGCGUUAAUCGGAAUUACUGGGCGUAAAGCGCGCGUAGGCGGCUUUGCAAGUCGGGUGUGAAAUCCCCAGGCUUAACCUGGGAACUGCAUUCGAGACUGCAUUGCUAGAGUAUGGGAGAGGGAAGUGGAAUUUCCGGUGUAGCGGUGAAAUGCGUAGAUAUCGGAAGGAACAUCAGUGGCGAAGGCGACCAUCUGGACGACAACUGACGCUGAGGCGCGAAAGCGUGGGGAGCAAACAGG